GACGAACGCUGGCGGCGUGCUUAACACAUGCAAGUCGAACGGGCUGCCUGGUUUUCGGAUCGGGUGGUGAGUGGCGAACGGGUGAGUAACACGUGAGUAACCUGCCCCUCUCUUUGGGAUAACGUCGGGAAAUCGGCGCUAAUACCGGGUAUUCUGGCUUCCUCGCAUGGGGUUGUUGGGAAAGGUUUUUUCUGGUGGGGGAUGGGCUCGCGGCCUAUCAGCUUGUUGGUGGGGUGAUGGCCUACCAAGGCGGUGACGGGUAGCCGGCCUGAGAGGGUGUCCGGCCACACUGGGACUGAGACACGGCCCAGACUCCUACGGGAGGCAGCAGUGGGGAAUAUUGCACAAUGGGCGGAAGCCUGAUGCAGCGACGCCGCGUGGGGGAUGACGGCCUUCGGGUUGUAAACCUCUUUCAGUGCAGAACAAGGCUCUUUGUGGGUUGAGGGUAGGCGCAGAAGAAGCGCCGGCUAACUACGUG
RNAcentral lists this ribosomal RNA (478 nucleotides) under uncultured bacterium. RNAcentral's name for it is "partial 16S ribosomal RNA". It matches the Rfam family "Bacterial small subunit ribosomal RNA", at positions 28 to 507 of the family's 1533-position model. The record is from RNAcentral.